CUGAGCGAUGGAUGGCUGGGACCUCAGCCAUGGCCAUGGCCGCUUUUUGCUGUUUGUUGGCAUGAGUUCACGUUCUCAUCCACAAGGAAUCAGACUCCAGGAUCAAACGCUUGUCUAUGGUUGGCAUCACUCCAACAGACGUGCAGGGGAGUUCCACUUGUGCAGAGACAGAUUUGUCCCUGGGUUCCUCCAGAGAGAGUUGCACAACAUGCUCUGGAAACCAUGAGCGAAGAGUAUUCUUGUUGGAGUGAAUUGCAUAUGCUAGAUUUAAUUUAUUCAAAUCAGAAACAUAUUCAACCAUUUCCAACUAUAUGCUGCUUACAAAAUCUCAGUACAGCAUCUCCAGAAAGUCAUGAGCCAACUGCUGUGCAUGACCCGCUUUGGGAUUCAGGCUGCAACAGGAAACUCAGCUUGGAACAAGAAUUCUCUUUUAAAUGAACUUUUGAAACUGGAUCUACAUUGUGAAAUAUUUGGAUAUUGAGCAAUGGAAGAAUUUGGAACAUAAACACAAGCGACUGCUGCUUAUGAGCACAGCAAGCUGCAGCAAGCCGGCUGGGUGCUGCUGUCAGCCAUCCCCAUGGCACAGGGCACAUAGGAGACUGGUGGGAAAGAAAGGCUCAUUGAGAGCACUUCUUAAGCAAGGGUAUUUUUACUCAGAGCAUGAUGAGGCACUGGCACAGGUUGCACAGAGAAGCUGUGGGUGUUCCAUCCCUGGAGACACUCAAGGCCAGGUUGGAUGGGGCCCAUGGGCAGCCUGUUGGGUGGCACUGCCCAUGGCAAGGGGUUGGAACUGGUGGGCUUUAAGAUCCCUUCCAACCUAAUCCAUUCUGUGAUUCUAUGAUUAAAUUUCACCCUCAGCAAGUUUGUGGAUGACACCACGCUGAGUGGUGUGGCCAACACACCUGAGGGAUAGGAUGCCUGUAUGGGAACUGCUGAGUCACAACCUGCACUACUGACUGAGCAACUGGAGAAAAGACCCAGUCAGCCCUGGAAGCACAGGUGAAGGUAAUUCACCUGUGUGACCAAAAAAAGUGGACCCUGGCUUUACCCUUCUUAGACCUCAUUUUAAGGGCUGACUGCCACUGAAGAAGGAUCUCUUGUUGGAGAUCUCUCCUUUGUGGAGUCUUCCUGCAAUCCUUGAUCUUUGGAUACAGCUAGAACAAGUUGGCACCAAUAUUUUGGCUAUUGCUGAGCAGUUCUGCCGCAGCACCAAGGCUGACUCUCCAACUCCCAGCCCUAACAAAGGCAAGCACUGAAUCAGCUGCGGGAGCACAGAUGAAGACAAUUCUCCUGUGUGACUGGAAGUGGGUGGACCCUGGUUUCACAUCUCCUAGACCCCAUUGAAGGGCUGACUGCCUCCGAGGAAGGAUCUCUUUCUGGAGAUUGCUCCUUGUGGAGUUCCUCACAAGCCUACAACACUGGUUAUAAGUUCACAGGACAGCUGGCAGGAGCAACAUCACUCCAGGUUGCUUCAGUGUCCAUGAGGAAACAUCAUGACACCCUGUUGUGCACAGCUGAACUUUUGGGAACUGGCGAGUGUGUAUCAGAACUGCUACUGGUCCUUGAAGAAGAUAUGCCUCAAGAAAGAACAUCAAGUGCUGGCCCAACAGAACCGCAGAAAAGACUGCCAAUAAUUGCCUUUAUUGUCUUAACAUUCUACACUGCGGUGGGUAUUGUACAUGUGUCACAAUGUACAUGGAAAUUGGAAAAUACAAGCCACGAAACUGCAGGAGCUCACCCCCUACCUGCUCAGUCAUUGGUUCAUACUGUGAAGGGGUGGAGUGUAGUGGAAUUUCAAGGUCACAGCCUGAACCAAUACAUGAGCAUGUGACUGCCUGGAGUGGGGGAGGACGGGCUAGCGCUACAUUUUUUGUCUCAGUGAUGCUUCUGGGAGCAUGUGUGCAAUCUGAGCCUGCGUGGGUUCCCCUUCCCCCACCCUUCUCUCUUGUGGCUCGAGUAUGAAUGGGAGAAAGCUGCAUUCCUCAGCUUGCCCCUUUCUCCAGACUGUUACUGGGAGGGGCGUCAUGGUUUUAUGAUUCUUGUUUAUUGGUAUUCCACAUCAUAACAUCAUGUAGUGCACUGGGAGUUAAAGAGUUAAUGCUCCAGUUCUGGGCACCUGUCUGCUAGAGAAGAGCUACAUUGCUGAAGAGCAGAUUGCUGUGGAGACCAGCUUCAGGGCAGGUAAGACUGCACUGGGUAAGGGACCUAAAGCAAAAAGGCCAACCAAAAAGCUCUUUUUAGGGCUUUUUUGAAGCCAGCAAAAGCACUGUGCUGGUGCCAGGGGGCUGGCAGCUUGUGGGCAGGCUGUUGAGCCAGCAGGGGUCGAGCUGGCACUGCCCACUCUUGAGCUUGACCCUUUGCUGUGAGGCUAAAAGCAGCCCACAUAAUGUGCCAGGUGAGAAAAGGGUGUUACUAUCUACUGACAACAGGGAGGGAAGUCAGAGUGUGAGCACAGCCUACACUGCCCAUACAAUACUGCAGCAGCAGGUGUGGGUGGUGGGUCUUGAGGCAGGACACGUGAGUGCUUUUGUCUUUGCUCAGGAGACCAGCUCUCCUACUGGCAGACCCUGAGACCCCCAGGUUCAAACAUGGUCUCUACCAGACAGUGGACUUGCCCCAAGAAGACUGCCGACCCAGACAGAGGGCCUGCCCAGAAAUGUGGCUGUGCAGGUCUCUGCCUACAGGGAGUGUCUGAGCCUGCUGCUGCCAGGGGAGGAUAAGAAGGAUGCCACCUGUGUGAGGUGCAAGCAGGUAGAUGAGCUGCUCAGCCUGGUGGUAGAGCUCAGGGAGGAGGUGGAGAGAUUAAGAACUAUCAGAGAGUGCGAGCGGGAGAUUGACUGGUGGAGUGACUCUCUGAGAGAAAGAUGCAGAGAUUGCACUCCCCCAAACCAUAGUGGACCCUCUCCCUUGCUGCAGUCAAGCACAGAGAGCCGACUCGAGAGGAGGAAUGGCAGCAGGUACCAGCUCGGAGACGCAGGUGACCCCCACCCCAACCUACCUCGGUUCCCCAGGUGUCUCUACAUAAUAGGUUUGAUGCCCUGAAACUGGAGGGAGAGGUGAGUGAGGAUAAGGGGGGAAGACUGCCUCCAAGUGUGACUAAGGUGAGGAGGUCAGCUCCAUGCUCAAAGACUGCCUCCUCCAAAAAAGAAAGGAGGGUGAUAGUUGUAGGUGACUCCCUCCUGAGAGGAACAGAGGGUCCAAUAUGUUGGCCUGACCCUACCUGUAGGAAGGUGUGCUGCCUCCCUGGGGCCCGGGUCAGGGAUAUUUCUAGAAAACUUCCUGGUCUGAUCCACCCCUCUGAUUACUAUCCAUUAUUGGUAGUUCAGGCUGGCAGUGAUGAAGUUGCUGACAGAAGCCUGAGGGCUAUAAAAAAUGAUUUUAGGGGACUGGGGAGGUUAGUUGACAAUGCAGGCAUACAAGUAGUAUUUGCAGGUAUUCCUACAGUGGCAGGGAAAGACAAUGCAAUGACCAGGAAAACCCAUCGCAUAAACACAUGGCUGAGAGGUUGGUGCAAACUCAAGAAUCUUGGGUUCCUUGAUCAUGGGGUGGUCUACUCGGCACCUGGCCUGAGGUCUGCAGAUGGGUAUCACCUGUCUCAAAGGGGGAAACAGAUCCUUGCCCAGGAGCUGGCAGGACUUGUAGAGAGGUCUUUAAACUAGACAUGAGGGGGGAAGGGGAUAAAACCAGGCCUGCUAGAUAUGAGCCUGGGGGAGGGGUCUGGAGCACAGGCCUUAUGAGGAGUGGCUGGAGGAGCUGAGAUUGUUCAGUGUAGAGAAGAGGAGGCUCAGGGGAGACCUUUUUGCUCUCUCUGAAGGGAGGUUGUAGUGAGCUGGGGGUCAGCCUCUUCUCUCGUGUGACUAGUGAUAGGACUAGAGGGAAUGGCUUCAAGCUGCACCACAGAAGGUUCAGGCUGGACGUUAGGAUAUACUACUUCUCUGAAAGAGUGGUCAGGCACUGGAAUGGGCUGCCCUGGGAGGUGGUGGAGUCACCAACCCUGGAGGUGUUCAAGGAACGUUUGGACACUGUGUUGGGGGACAUGGUUUAAUGAGAACUAUUGGUGAUGGGUGGAUGGUUGGACUGGGUGAUACUGUGAGUCUUUUCCAACCUUGGUAAUUCUAUGAUUCUAAGUUAAGCCUUUGGCAAUGCAUGCUUUUCGAGCUAUAUCAGAGGCUGGAAAACAAAGGCAGUCUUUUGUUAGCAUUAAACAACAGCCCCAAGAACCGUAUAUGACAUUUCUGGAUAGGCUUAAGAACUCAUUGGAAAAACAGGUCUGAGAUGUGUACCAGCAUGAUGGGUCUAGCCCUCCGUCUCAUCACCUGCUGUAACAUGAUCACCAAGCUUUCAUCUGCAGUUUGGAUUCUUGACAAAAGACAGGACAAGACACACUUUGCUUGUCAACUCUGUCACCAGCGAACCAUAAGAAUUGGAAUUGUUUGGAUUGGUUAAAAUGGACUAUUGUUUGUACUUAACUAUAGUGGAAAGAACCAAUCGUUCGUUCAGUAUGUUAACUUUAGUAUAGCUGCUUAUAGGAAUGUUUCUGAACCGUGCCUUUUUUUACGGCAGCAGCUACUUGCGCCAGAUAUAAACACACAUGAGGCACCUAGAUCCUUCAUGUGACUGAGGGGUUGUUGCAUGAGUAUAAAAGGCACCUACAGUAAUAAUUUGAUACAAUAAUCCUUCCGGUAUUUAAAAUAAAAAUUUAUAAAAAUAAAAAUUUAAAAUAGCCUUCCGGUAUUUAAAAGGGAAUUAUAAAAAGGAGGGGAGUCAACUUUCUACAAGGUUAGACGGUGAUAGGACAAGGGAAAAUGCUUUUAAGCUCAAGAAGGGAAGGUUUAGAUUGGAUGUCAGAGGGAAGUUCUUUACAAAGAGAGUGGUGAGGUGCUGGAACAGGUUGUGCAGAGAGGCUGUGGAUGCUCUGUCCGUGGAGGUGUUUCAGACCAGGUAGGAUGGAGCUCUGGGCAACCUGUUCUGGUACCAGAUAUGGAGGUUGGUAGCCCUGCCUGUGGCAGGGGAGUUGGAAGUUGAUGAUCCUCGAGAUCCCUUCCAACCCAAGCCAUUCUAUGAUUCUGUGAUCACAGUACACAGUGGGGUUCUUGAUCAAGGAUGUCUGCAGGGGAGGGAGCACAUAGGCCCUCCAAUAGCCAGCAGCUAUCAGGGAGUGGCUGAAGAGGCAUAGGCAGGGCCAGGAGAAAUGGUGGCCAUUCCCCACACAUAGAGGCAGCACUGGGAAGUGCUGUGGCCAGGACAGGGCAUGCAGGAAGGGCAUCUCUCUGAAGAAGGCCAUUCCACUGGCUGAGCAGGGAAGUUCAAAGUGCACAUAACCCAGUAACUCAUUCUACCUGACCCUUAAGACAGAAUGGCAGGCAUGCAUCCGAGAACAAAGGUUGCAGCUCCAGCUGAGUGGUCUGCCCCAUAUCUCCCAGGGCUGGCUGAUGCCUCCACUCAGAUGAAGCUGCAGGAGAGGCUGCAGUGCAUACAGUGUCCUGUCUCAAGACAGAUGGCAAUGGCCCUAAACUGAAGCUCUUCCCUACUUUCAGUGCACAGCUCCAGUGAAUGCAAGGCUGAGGGGGUAUUUCAGACAUCUCUGGCUGACAGAGUGUGACCUGUGCAGUAAUGAGGCAACUUUGGAGCCCCCUACUCCUCCAUACUGUGAGCACAUUUCACAAACGAGGCUUUCAGGGCAGAUCAUAGAAUCAAAGAAGGUCCUGAGCUGGAAGGACCCAGUGUCUUGGUGCUGGCUGGGAUGGAGUUAACUUUCUUUCUAGUAUCUGGUCUGGUGCUGUUUCAAGAUUUAUGAGGAAAAUGAUAACACACUGCUGCUUUAGUUGUUGCAGAGCAGUGCUUACAGAGCCAAGGACAUUUAGGCUUCUGGUGCUGCCCUGCCAGAAAGGGGCUGGGGGGGCACGUAGGGCAGAACCAGGACAGCUUAUCUAAACUGGCCAAAGGGUACACUGCUGCUUGAAGACUGGCUGGGCAUCUGUCAGCGGGUGGCAAGCAACUCCAUUGUGCGCCACUUAAUUAUUAUCCCCAUCCUUUUCUGUCCUAUUCAAUUGUCUUUAUCUCCACCCAUUAGAUUUUUUUUUUUUCCUGAUUCUCUCCCCUUCCUAUCUGGGAAGGAAAGGAAGGGGCAAGGGGAUAGAACAAAGGGCUGUAUGGUGCUGAGAUGCCUUCUGGGUCAAACUGUAACACAGAAGGAUUGUUGACACCAACUUCUGACUCCGUGUAGGGCAAUUUAACAGUUAAACCGCAUAUCUGAAAGUGCUGUCCAAACACUUCUCUAACACCAGCUGUCUUGGUGCCAUGACCACUGCUCUGGGGAGCCUGUCCCAGUGCUUGAUCACCCUCUCAGUGAACUGAUGUCCAAUCUGAACAUCAGCUUUCCUGACGGACUUCUCCAGUCAGUUCUUCCACGUUGCCCCCUCCCCCCGUUCCCCACCCUCCAGCUUCCUUCUGCACUCCCAAAUGUGUUAACUUUUAUCGGUUCACUCAGUUCAGCAGCUAAGAAUCAGUUCACUUCAGAUAGUGGAGUGGAUUUCCAUGAGUUAGGGUCACCCCUGACCCUGUGUCCUACAGAGCCAUAACUCCUUGAUUAUUUUGCCAGCUCCAGUGUGUCACAAGCAGAGGGGAGCACGCAGGCACCAUUCCCCCCUGCCUGCCCCCGCUGAGCCAUGUGGGAGAGUGGCCACCCCCUCCCCAGUCUGGCUUGCAGAGGGUAUGGGAGUGAGGGUAAGGCACUGCAGCCACACUUAUUCCCUGUCUCCUCUCCACGUUCCUCGCUCCCACACCCCCUGAGACCUCCAUUACACCAGUGCCUGAGUGCCUCCGCCACUCCGUUCACUGGCCACCCUCCCCUCACCACAAGUCCAUAAUUCAGCUCAGGUGAGGUGCUCAGACAACACUUCUCUUUCCCAGGCCUCCACAGAAGCCACCUUGACUCAACACCUUCUGGCGGCCCCAGCGCUGUGUGCAGGCUCUGCUAAGCACCCCCUCACCCACUCUGUCAUUUCUCCAGAAAGGCAUUCACAGCGGGGCCUUACACCACACCAUUUACAGUCCUAGGAGCAAGGCAGUGAAGUAUCACUUAGAGUACUACUUAUUAGAGCUAACAGCAUAAAGAAGGAGAAUAGUAUUGUUCAUCUUACGUCCCUUUGGAUGCUAGGAGCCCCGAGUUGUGCAGCGUUGAGUAGGCCUCCCAUCCACGUAUAGCAUGCUGUGCAGACAUGUCCGCAGGAAGAGUUUCCCAAUUCUGCUCAUUUGAGCUCUUAUAGAAUUUCUUACAAGUAAACAGCUCUAUUCUUUAUUUCUUCUGCCCAACAGAGCAGAUGUUCUCAUGAGAACUCCCGGCACUUUCAGAUAAAGGCAAGGCCACGCAGGUGGUGUGAUUGCCAGUUCUGAGUGGGAGCUGCUUGCAGGCUUCUGUUACCACCUCCUGUCUGAGUUUAUCCCACAGCAUGGCACAGACCCGCUCAGGUUCACUGUUAUGUGGAUCACUGAUGUUUAUAUACAGUGGUCUUUUGGUCGGGAUCACUGCAGGAGCCCAUCAUGCAGCUGGAGAUAUCCAUCAGUCUGGGUGCAUUUUGAAAGAGCCUCACACUAAGAGCAGUUUUUUUCUCUAGAAGCAGGAUUCAGGAUAUUAGUAAGAAAUGUGUUGCUCAUUCUGAUAAGGUAACAGCCUGCUAUAAUGAGUUUCUAUACUGACUUUUUGACAGUAUGGAUGGAUGGAUCUAUCAGAAUUUUAUUAUUUAAGGUAAAGGGAUUGCACAGGGACAGACUGAAUAAAAACCAGCCAGUAGAUUUUAAUAUUCAAAAUGUUAGUUGGAGCUUAGCUGGAAAUUGAUCGAUACCUGUCGUGAAAAAGUCUUGGCUUACCAGGUUGCAUCCAGCUUCAAAAUGAAAGAAUCAUUGAGAUUUAUUGGUCAUACACAGUGUCUUCUCCCAGAGGUUCUUAGUUGAAAGACAUUAUUUGAUAACGCAAUUUCUAUAGUCUGACUACCACUACUAAAUUCUAUUUUAAAUUCCAGAAUGAUACUGAAGUUUAUUGAAAUUCUCCAGUGGCUACGUGAUGAUCAUCUUCAUUUCUCAACAACAACUCCUCGGUCUCUAAUUUUCUCCUCCAUGGAUAUUCUUCAUUUUAGAGGUCUUGCCAUUUCACUAGUUGCCAAGUCAAAGUUAAUUUCUCUAAUGAACGGAGCCACAGCAAACUGUUGCUUGUGUAGCAUUUGAACUAAUCAGAAGUUCCACACACAAAUUCAGGGGCUGACUCUCAAGGUCUCUCUGGUGAAGAGACCUCUCUUAGCACUGCUUUUAUGUCCUUCACCUCCUCCUGUCCCACAGGACCUGAAGGUGCUAACACUGACUUAUUCAAAGCUCUUCUGCAAACACAAGAAGGCUGCUGUCUUUAUACCAUGAGAGAAAUGUACUUUUCAGGGGAAGUACCAUGAAUCAUGGUUAUUCCAUACAGCAACAUUCAAAGCUAUUGCUUUCAGAGGACAGUGAACACAUCCUCUUACUUCAUAAGCAUUGUGCUCGAUGAAAGAUCUUUCUGACUGUUCUGCUACCCUUGAAACAAACAGGACAGGAAUUGUCAUUCCCCUUGUCAGAAGGACCAUCUGCCACUACAUUAGGACAGUCUUCUAUUAAAUUCACCAGCACUCUAAUUAUAGGAUGACUAGCAAAUGGUUAAACUGCCAGAUGCUAUGAAGAUAUAUCACUGUCUCUUUAGGUGGUUAGGCAAACGUUUAAUUAGACCUACAGCUGCUGUGUCUGCUUUACCUACUAACUUAUCCAAAUUGCAUUCACCUGUGGGAAAGAUGGAGCUGCUGUCCUCUGAGAAGAAAAGCAUCUUAAGCCAAACUUUACUGAAACAUACAGCAUGUAGACAUGUGAGCUUCCACCUUGAAAAAAUAAGCAGUAUUGGGCUCAGGGUGUUUAACAGUCUGUGAAGCUGUUUAUUCACAGAAACACCAAAGGGCAGAACCCUGCAGUUUUCCCAUUUGGUACAUGGCCUUGGCUGAAACCUGCAGAGAAGGAUUUUAAAAAAGCAUAUAAAUCCUUAUUUUGGAAAGUGUACUUGGCUCUGCUUAAUACUGCAAGAUCUAAAGGUCAUAUCCAGAAAAAUAGGACUUUGGGAUCUAGCUAAAGUCUAUCCUCCAUUCAGUCUCAUUACUUUUAGCCUUCUAUUUUAAGGGUUUAGGAACCAGGUUUCAGAAGGGUACUUUAUUUCCAUCUAGUGCUGCAACUGAUAUUUGCCAUCCCAAGGUACAGGCACUGUGGUGACCAAAGAUGCAAGUGGGCAACAAGCUUAGAUUCAGCCUUAAAGCUUGAGGCCCUUGUCAGGAGCUUUGUUGGGUAGCAGCAUCCUCUGUGGGGCAUGGCCUGUUGCUCUCCAUUGAUUGCAGAAAGCACUGUGUGAAACUACCUGAAUUGUACUGAUGGCAAAGAGAACUCAGCGUGGUUUUAACCCAUAUCUACCCUGACCAUGCUUUAACCCAGACAAUUCAUGAGCACAGCAUUAAUUACAGGCCAAAGAGCAGUGCCAGCAGGCAGACAAUCUGGCCGUGUGCUUUCAUGGAUAAGACUAUGUUAUAAUAUGUGUAUGCUGCUGUGUGCCACUUGGCUGUUGUGCCAGAACACUAGCAAGUGGAGAAAGAAAUAAAAUUCUUGGUGCUAUUCAGGAGAUCCCAGGGAACUGGGCUUUAGGGAGACCAAGGAGGAGUCUGUAGCUUCUACAGAGAAAGUCCUAGUUACAGUAAUUUCACUGUGUUUUAAGCCUGCCUUAUUUAUAGUUUCUUCCUCUGCUAGCGCCAGUUUUCCUGAUCUGUCUCUUUAGGCAUAUACAGCCUUCCCUCUUGGGCACAGAUAUUGACACUGAGAUUCAUAUGAUGGUUAGCUCAGAUCUGGAUGCUUGUAGCAUGUCUCAAGCAGAGAAUAAGCUGAAAUCCAGGCAGAAUAUUUGGGAGUAUACAAUAUUGGUGUCUCAGGAACUGUGUUCAGCGCCUAGGAGUCUGCUUGAAGUUCAUGGUAAUUUGCCUGGGAAAACAGACAGAAUACAUCUGUAGUUUUAUCUUACAGUUUUACUUAAUCUCAGCGGUCGUUAAUCGGGAUGAAGCGUGUUCUUUCUUCCCACACUCUCAGUAUCUGUGUGCACAGUAACUUUCUCUGUGGUCUGGGCCUUAUACACCAAGAAAUAUUUUCUCUUACAAAGCUCUGGGACCUAGAAACUUGGAAAAGCAUAAGGAGAGCUUGCAAAGGAAUGGCUCUGCAAAUUGCUCAGUGAGAUGGCUCUGGAAAUUGUUCUUCUUUUCCAUUUGCAGACAUAAAAUUUGCUGACUUUCCAAGCAGACAGCAAAAGACAUUUAUGUGAGAGGCUUUUCAGAGGUGAUAGAAACAUACUUGCCAGGUGUCAGCAGGGGUAGAUAGCUGAGUGAACUGCUGAGUGAACUGCUGAGUUUUAAUUCAGUUGUAUUUUUGCAUAAUUUAUUAUGGCAGCCCCCUAGAGCCUUCGGAACCUAUCUUGAUUAUUUUAUGUUUAAAUAAAUAAAUAAAUGAUGGGUUAUUGAAGGAACUGGCACUCAAUUUCAAGAGAUGAACCUGAGGCACAUCAAAGGCAGGCUCUGAGUGCCAAAAUCAACUGCAGUUUUACGGCUAUGCUAAGCCAUGCAAUUAUCUUAAACCACGAAGAUCUUGUUGGAUUUGCAGGGGGAAAUUUAGCAUCAAUCUCUGUACAGAGAACAAACAAACCAAAUCAGCGCUGCGUUUUCAUAUUAACACCGCACGAGGCUGCCAGAAGUGAAAUACUGUCUGUGUUCAGAAGUGCCACUGGUUGUCUCACAGCUAAAUAAAACUGUAUACGUGUUCUGAGGAGCUUGUGUCUGUACAGAGCAUAAUGAUCUGUAGAGAUCAUGACCAGCAAGGUAGCUGAGCAGGCGCUUUGGCUGUUGAAAAUGGUGCUGGUUAAGUCAGCAUUUUACCUUGUUCGGAUAUGCAGCCAAUCCUCCCUUCAUUCACUGUUGAACACGUUUUUUCAGACCUUUCACCUAUCCCUUGGGAAAAGAGACUACAGGAACUAACCUUGAGACAGAUAAGGCAGGAGGAUGAUGGAGAACUACUCCCAGGGCGGGAAAACAGGAAGCAAUGACAGCAACAGCAAAGAAGGUUGCAAAUGUACUUAGAAAAAAGAAAACCAAGUUGUAACAUUUGUUUUAAACCCAUGGAAGAGAGAGUAAGCAGCAAUGCAACAGGAUUAAUGAUGUCAAUAAAUAAAUAAUGGUAUUUUCGUUGCGUAUCACUCAUUGAUCACUGUCAGCAAGAGCACAGCUUCUCCAGUUUCCUCCCCUCUUAGCUGGGCUGGGAUCCAGUGGGAGAACAGAGUUGGGACAGCUUUCAUUUGAAAGACAAUUUAUUUAUUAGCCAGGCAGAAAAUCCUAUUAAAAAGAGAGGGAUUUUCAUGAUUGAGCUGCAGUAUUCAUUUUCAAGUAUUCUGCCAAAAAAAAUUAGGCUGUUUUGCAUAAGAUGAAACCAUAGUUUUGGACGGGACCUUGAGCAGGAGGUGAGGAAUGUGCUGUGUUCCCUGUGAGACAUCCCAGGAGUUACUUUGACUUGAGAGACAGAAGAUUCCUUCCCUGCCAAGUUUUUUGGGCUUUUUUUCCCCCUUUUUUUCUGGAUUAAACUAACAGUGUCUGAUGGGAAUGUCUGCUUCCUGGCAGGGCCUGAGCGUGUGCAGUGCUAGAUGUAAUUUGUGUCACUCCCUUUCUACCCAUCUGGUGAGACUGUUUUGGCUAUAAUAAGGUGAUGAGCCUUGGUUUGCCUGUACUGCUAACCACGUGAGGUGGGAGUGAGCCUGAGGACUGGACCCUAACUUGUUUCUGCUGAAAGUUUUGUUUGCUUGCUGGCUGGCUGGCUGCUCCACUAAGUGCUUUUCAAGACAAAGCUCACGCAUGCUGCUGAGGGAGAGGUUUUUUUUCCAGCAACUGCUCCCAAGAGGCACCAUGGGUAAGCUCAACCCUACCCCAGAAAGCUCUGACCCCUCCUGUAUGGGCAGAUGGCCUCGUGCCACACACAGGUGUGAAUAAAACACCCCCUCAUGGGUUCACAUUGCUUGGAGCUUCAGAGCGAGCCUUGGGGUAUGUCAGGCAUGUGGUAGGUGAGAGGGCUGGCCUGGAAAUUCAUACCAUAGAAGUGUUUCCUGUGUUGCAACUGAAACUGAAGCAAAGGUCAGUUUUGCAGUGUGAACACACAGAACUUUUUCACGUCAGAAUCUCUACAAAUGUGUAUGGACACAAUGGGCUGGCCUUUCCCUUUCUGAAGUACCUUCUUUUGCACCAGGCAUGCUGUUGGUUACCACAUUGCAGCUGUGGGAUGGCAAAUUCCUGCCAGAGGGGAACUAUCUUCUGCAUAUUACUUCAUUCAGUCACAAAGCACUCAUAUGACCAUCUCACAGGACAUUUUAGCUGGAACAAACCCAGCAGGAACUGUCAUGUGGAGUUGAUUAGGUUUCAACUCUGCAGUGCCAUGGCCUUUCAGCUGAUGGGAAACUGCCCAGAAAGUCUUUCUUGGGAAUUGAUUUUCUUCUUUAAUGUUGCUAACAGCAUAUGUUGAUAAUAAAGAUUAUCCCAGAUAUCUCUAAACAAAAAUGGCAUCCCCCCACUGUGGUUCACUUGUGAAAAAGCCUGGUCCAAAUGCCUUUCCAGAUCCAAGGACUGAGAGAGAAAUACAACAUGCAAAAUAAUUAUUGUAAUCCAUCAAUUUUGCAGAAACAAAGCAGAACAACAAACAAUUAUGAUAGCAAAUUGAAUCAUAAAAUGGCAAUAUGCCAAGCUCUAUAUCAGCUGGGUCUUUUCACUUGUCUGUUGGCAAAAUAAAGAGGAUUAGGGGGAUGACUCAUCUGGUGAUUGGAAAAUCUACUUCGAAGUUGCAAAGGAAAUUCAAGCCCCAACAGUUCAUAAGCAGUAAUUCACUGCACAUAAACUUCUGCUCACUUAAAGCUCCCAUCCCCAGCUUGUAAACUGUGAACACUGUGGGGCAGCAGAACCAGCCCAGCUCUGGUGCUAGCCCUGCAGCUCUGGGUUGUUCCUGCUUGUAAUUGCUGCAGUCCCUGUGAGUGGGGUCAUGUCAACAACAACAGAAACGUGGUGUGUUUGCACAGGGGAAGUCCUAUUGCUGCUGUAGCUCUCUGUGACUAUUUUAUUACUGACUGCGGUGCAGUCAGAAUUUUAAUCUUUCCCAUCAGUUUUGUCUCGUAUGUCAGUUCUGGAUUCCUCCUAUACUGAGGCUGGAUUCUUGAAUGGGGAAAGCCAGCAGUGCCAGGGAGCUCCCAGCAAAGUGCUCAUCCACUUCUUACCUCCACCCUAGCCUCCUUCAGCCCAAAGCUGCUGCUACAGUGUCACCAGGCACUUGGAAUCAUUGAAUCACUAGUGUUGGAAAAGGCCUCCAAGAUCAUCCAGUCCAGCCAUCCACCUACCACCAAUAUUUCCCCUUAGUACAACAUCUAAAUGUGUCUUGAGUCCCUCCAGGGACGGUGACUCCACCAUCUCCCUGGGCAGCCCAUGCCAGCACCUGACCACCCUUUCAGAGAAUAAAUUUUUCUUAACAUCCAAUGUGAAUCUCCCCUGGUGCAACUUGAGGCCAUUCCCUCUAGCCCUAAUUUCCUCUAAUCUUCAGAAGAACUGGAGCCGUGCUCCUCUCAGCAGUCUGGUGAAGAUGUAGAUAACAGGUUUGCGUACGUGCUACGUGGUUAUGCCUCCACUGUGCAUAAUUGCACCGUGUUGAUGUUUGGCAAGUGCCAUCUGGUUUUCAUUUUCCUUCACAGCAUAAUUCAUCACCUCCACCCCCACAGAUUUACAGUGCAACUGUAUUUCUCCUUUCAAGACAAUUUCAGCUACACAGAGUGUGUUUUGAUUUAUUUUAACUGAACCCAACAGACACUAAUAUCAAAUCAUUCCCCUUCAAAUUAAAAGGGAUUGGAUUUGCAAAUUUUAGCAAGAUAGGACUACUCAUAAAAUCUUAACUGAUAAAGUAAUAAGAUGGCAGGGAGGAGAAAGGACUAACUACACAACAACUCUACUCACCAGAAUCUGGGAAAAUACUCUGGAGAAACAUUUCAAGCACAUGAAAACUCAUCAGAACUACAUGAGCAAUAGAAAAAAAACGAGUGAUUAGAGGAAAUGUAGAGAGGAAAGCUCAGUACUGGGAAUCACUUGCUCAGUACUUCCUUUUGUAACUGAAAUUCCUAUCUUUAUUUGCAAACAAGAAGCAUCUUUCAGGAAAGCUGUUUGUGAGAGAGGACACAGUCCUGUGUACCUGCGUGUGUCUGCAUGCAGGCAGGGCAAAGGGGGGAGAAAACUGAAGCCAGAGGAGGAACAAAAGAGCUGAUUGCAGAAGUAACAAAAAUGUGUAACUGACAAACCAGGAAGGUUGCUUUUAUCCUAUGUUUGUGAGAAUUCCAGUGAACAGUUCUCUCCGCUUCUCUUACACACAUAUGCUGUGAACACAAUCAGACAUAGCUGUAAGAAAAACUGCAAAUAGGAAAUAAGAUCCAAAGAAGAAGCCCUCCUCUGUUGGCACUGAUUAUCUAUCUAUCUAUCUAUCUAUCUAUCUAUCUAUCUAUCUAUCUACUUAUCUUCCUUUACCGUGACACCAAAAGCCAUCUUUGAAUUCUGUGUGCUCCUCAGUUGUGUCUUAAGGUUCACUUUGCACAACAGCUAUUUCCUUUGAGAAAUAUUGUGUGUUAAGGUAUUGCGAGUUAUGAACAGGAUUACUAGGCUAAAGGGACAUUGCCAAAAAACAUUACUUUACAUGCACAUUCACAUUAAAAACCUUAUUAAAUCUGCUAACGUAAGGAGGCAAAAACCUAGGAAAUGUCAGGACUAAUGCUAUCUGUGUUACCCUAAAUCUGUCCUUUCUCCACGUGCAUCGUGCCUGCAAUCUUUAAUAACAUCAUCACCCAAUUUAUUUUCUCCCCAGGGGCUCCUGUCUCAUUCAGUGUCCUCUGCUGGAUGCUCCUCCUCCAGCUGCCCCUUCCUCGGCCCUCUCUGAGCUCACUGCACAGCCAAACAUCUGCAUAUUUUCCACAGGAAUAACAAGUGGAAAUUAUCUCAUGCAGGGGUCGUGCCCUUUGCUGAAUUUAAAGCCAUAUUUAGUAAGAGAGCAUUAGAGCUUCUCCAUGUUUUAUAAUUCUUUUAAAUAAGUGGAAGGCAGUCUUUUCUUAGAAGCCACAGAUCUCAGCUGAAGCUAAAGCAAAUCCAUCGCAUGGGCUAUUUCACCCUUGAUUGCAACUUCAGAAGUCAAAAGCAAAAAACAAACAAACAAACAAACAAACAAAAAGCCAGUGUCAAAAAAAGGCAAAUGUUGAAAACGUUCAUCUUGAUGACACAAUUGGCUUUACUUAUCCUGCAGCUCACAUUUUCAUAUGGCCACCUGGGAUUUUUUCAGUGGCCUUGCUGGAGAGAAACGAGACACUGGAGGUCAGGUGCUGCCACUGGUCCUUAUAUAAGAUGCUCACUUAAGGUCGAGGGGAGCACUUCUGGCCUCCUACCUUUUAGAGAUUCAUAGAAUCACUAAGGUUGGAAAAGACCACUAAGAUCAUCUAGUCCAACCAUCAACUCAUCAGCAGCUCGUCCAUCACCACUCCUUCCCACCAGGGAAGCCCUGGGUGCUGCCCACGUUGGGCACCUGGAGAUCUGUCCAGGCUGAGAGGGCCCCAUGCAGAGCAGUGGGCAGAUUUCCCUCUGCUUUAAUCAUAGAAUAAUAGAAUCAUAGAAUCAUAGAAUCACAGAAUCACAGGAUGGCCUGGGUUGAAAAGGUCCACAGUGAUCACCUAGUUUCAACCCCCUUGCUAUGUGCAGGGUCGCCAACCACUAGACCAAUUCCCUUGAUUCCCUUCCUUUAUAGAGCCAGGGGGCAAACAAAACAUAAAGGCUGAACACAAGGCUCCAGGCUUACUUUCACCCACUUAAAAAUGAAAGUAAGGCAACUAAAUCAGCCGCACUAUUAAAAUGGUCUUAUCCAGUCACCUCAAUGAAGAAACCCCAUGCCAUUUGCCCCACUGUGCUGCCAGUGCUGCUUCAAUUUUACCCUUCCAUCCCUCCCCCUGUGUUUGGUUAUCUGUACAAAAGCCUAAUAACUUCCACGCUGAAUUUAGAAAAGCAGCAGCAUUUGCAUUCUGAUUGCUCAGCCAUUUAAUUGUUACGCUUCAGGGGAUGCCUCCAGCUCUGCCAUUCGCCCUCACCCAGGAGACUGGGGCCCUUGUCCCACUGCAUAUCGAAAUAUCUCCAAAUCCACUCUUGACUGGAGCCUGAUCUGCACCUCUGGCUUAAAACUGCUGUCCCAGGGCAAAUAUCUGCCCAGCUCUUCAGAUACCCACAUUGUUAAUCACAUUUAAUUGGAAUAGGCUUGUGGAAAGCUUUGUCUAAGAAGAAAGCUGUGGUUCCAGCCUGUCUCACAGAUGCAUACUUUCAUUAAAGGCUAUUGUUUUCUACUUCAGUGUUGUUUACUUGGCUUCACCUCUAACCGCACUACAGUAGAAAAUAAAUCCUUCCAUGUGCUAACAAGUAUGCUCAUAAUAGAACUUUUUAGAAGGCGCUCAGAGUUUCCUAUCUCUUAAUUUUCCCAGUGUUUCCGUUAUCUGUAAUAUGCUUAUGUCAAGCUCUCUUGGCAAGACACAGCCUUUCAUCUCAUCUAUUUUAUAAUGCCAAGCACUUUUUUUUUUCCCCUUUUGAAAUAAUUAAUGGGUUUAGAGAUAUUUUAGAUCAAGCCGCAAAUGUUUCUUUGCUGAUAAAGAUUUUAGGUCAAGAGGAUAUUAGUUCCUUCUUAUCCCAGAUGAAAUUUCACACAAGCAGAGCAGUGAGAAGUGAGGAUGCUAUAAAAUCUAUAUAUAUAAAAAAAUAUGCACUGGAAUUAACUCAGUGGGUUGGGUGCAGUAGCACUUCUUGGGUCACCUGAGCUGAAGGAUCUGGUGGACCUGGUUUUGGGAGCGUGGAAGUUUCAGACUGGCUCCCUUCUCUUAAUGAACGUAAUAUUGCUUUCAUUUUACACAAGCUAUUUCUUUGGCAAUAGCCUCUUGGGCAAAGACUCUUUUUUAAUAUAUAUAGAUAUAUAUAUACACAUGUAGUGCAAACACAGCAGGGGACCACUGCUGCUAUUGGGUGGCUUAGGCAGUUUCUUUGUAGAAAUAUGUUAGCACUUUUCUCUCCCAACAUGCCUGUGACCCUGGCUAUGGCAAUUUAAAACAUAAUAAUACAAAUAAAAAAUAAGAAUGUCAGAUUAUAUGUACUGUAUCUCCUACAAACACCUCUCCUGAUAUAUUCAAUCUGUAUUUCAGGUUGGUUAGUAGGAAAAGGUUAUUCUCAGGAAGAGUAGUAAUGCAUUGGCACAAGCUGCCCGGAGAGGUGGUGAACCCACUGUCCCUGGAGGUGUUGAAGAACUGUGUAGAUGUGGCAUUGAGGGAUGUGGUCAGUGGGCAUGGUGGGGAUGGGCUGGUGUUUGGAAUGAAUGAAAUUUAGAGGUCUUUUACAAGCUUAAUGAUUCUGUGAUUCUAUGAUUCUAUAUACACAGCGUGCAUGUUUUGGAGAUACAAUACAUAUAAUCUGAAAAUUCUUUCAUGACUUCUGUUUCUUGAGCAAGUCAAGAUUUGCAGGAGAAGGUGAUAGAUGUAGUUUAUAUGCCGAGUUAGGUAGUUGUAAAAAUAAGUUACGUACGGAUUUUUGCACACAAAACUUGCCUACCAUUUUCAACAGCCACAACUGAGCUACUGAAGGAUAUUAUUUUUCCUUGCAUAUGUUGCCAUGGUUGUGUCUGCAGACCAUUAUGGUUUUUACAACAGCAGCAUGAUUGCUUCCUCAUUUGGAGGAUGAGUAUGGUACUCAGAGAGACUGAAGGGCCUGCAGGUUUGAUGCAGAGCAGGAGGGACGUAGGGAGAAGCAGGUGUGAUGCCCCAAACUUACAUGACUGCUCCACAGGACUGCAGGGGUUUUAAAGCUGGCACUGUCCCUGUCAGAGCCUGGUGGCUGGUUCUGCUUUGGAGGUGGCUUCUCUAAUACUGCCAGCAAAUCUGUCUUUUCAGAUAAGCUGCAAUUUUCUUCGCAAUGUUUGGUUAAAAAAAAAAAAAAAAAAAGAGUUUUUUAAAAAUAAGCCAUUCCAGUGCUGCCAGGUUCUCCUGACUUACAACCCAUCCUCUUCCCCAUACACUGCUUGGGAGUUGCAUGCAAGGAUGAAGGCAGUUGCAUCACUAAAACUGGGUUUGGCAGAUCAGAGAGCCUCUGAAGCAGCACAGCAUCUGCAAGCACAGCAUCUGUACUUGUCAUCAACUGCAGAGGUAUGGCUCAGACCAUUAAGAGCCAUAGAAUCAUUAAGUUAAGAAAAGACUACUAAGGUCAUCAACUCCAGCUGUCAACCCAUCCCCACCAUGCCCACUAACCCAUGUCUCUCAGUGCCACAUCCACGUGGCUCUUGAACACCUCCAGGGACAGUGGUCUCACCACAUUCCUGGACAGCCUGUUCCAGUGCACAACCACCCUUCCUGAGAAGUUUUUCUUGACAUUCAGGAAGAUGGUUACUGCUGCGUGUACACAAAAACUACAGGGUUAUAUAGGCACUGCAUGAAACAAAAGAGCCCAAUGGGACUUUCUGAUCACCAUUCCAGAGUCUCUGGUGCAUUGGUUUGAGCCUUGGCACCUGAGAAGGCUGGGAUGGGAGUCCUAAAUGGUGCUCCUGCCCCAUAGCUGUGUUGUGAAUGCUGGGAAGGUGUAGGUGAAGGCAGUGUGAAAUGGUGAUCUGCUAUAAAUCACAACAACUAUAAACAGCGGCUUACUUAAUAAGAGGUGUUUAACAAAUAUUGUCUGUGAUCUGUGUUUCUUCCUGACUCAGUUGUCCUUGAGAAAGAAGAAAAUUAGCAACAAUGGCAUUGGGCAGAGUGAAAAUCAAAAGCUGUCUGCUGGGCCAGGCAUCUCCUCAAGAAUGUAGGCCAUCCAUUUUAAACUAAUUCAGAGAUGGCAUUUUAAAAGUUAUCCCAAAGAUUUUUAAUUCCUCCAGCUCGUUAUCUGUCUUAUGGGCGAUCCAAAUUUUCUUUCCCCUAGUUCUGUCUUGUAGCAUCAUCCAUCACAAAGACCUGUCAAGGCAACAGCCUGGAGGCACUUCACAGCAACCCUCAGGUACAGUAUAAUCUCCUACUCUUAAAUUCCCCAGAGUUUCUAUUCCUUAAAAGCUCUGAAAUUGGUCUGGGCAUCAAGAAAGAUAUUGCAAGCCUUACAUGGCUUAUUACAGUGCUGGUGUAGAACACAGCAGAUAGAAUCCCUCCUCCUUCCUCCUCCUGACUUCCAGGUGUCCUUCUUAAUUAAUGGCUUGUUUCUACUGUGAGAUUUAUGCAGUGCUGAAUAACUUUCCCCUCUGAUGAUGAUAUCGUAGAAUCAUUAAGGUUGGAAAAGACCACUAAGAUCAUUUAGUCCAACUGUCAGCUCACCUCCACCAUGCCCAUGAACCGUGCCCCUCAGUACCAUAUCUACACAUUUCUUGUACAUCUCCAGGACUCCACACCUCCCUGGGCAGCCUGUUCCAAUCAGCUUUCCUGAGAAAAGAACUCCAAUCAGCUUUGCCAGAACUCUUCAUUAAAAAUAGUGAUUAGGAAGCCUCAAUAUGAGAGUUCAUGACAGGAGGAACAUAUCAUCAGCCAAUUUUUCAGGUUCCCUACACUGCGUCUACCCAGUCAUCCUAACUACCUGAAGACUGACAGUAGUGUGCUGAGAGCUAAGAGCAGAAAUUCAGGUCACAUCUAAUCGUGGAGAGAUAGUAUUACUCCUGUACAACACACGGAACUAAGUUAUAUUCAGUGCUGGCAGUUCAUAGAAUCAUAGAAUGGCCUGGGUUGAAAAGGACCACAAUGAUCAUCGAGUUUCAACCCCCCUGCUAUGUGCAGGGUCGCCAACCAGCAGACCAGGCUGCCCAGAGCCACAUCCAGCCUGGCCUUGAAUGCCUCCAGGGAUGGGGCAUCCACAGCCUCCUUGGGCAGCCUGUUCCAGUGCGUCACCACCUUCUGGGUGAAAAACUUCCUCCUAAAGUUCUAAUAUCCAGACCUCCUUUCAAGCGAUAAAAAGCCUUUUGGAUUUGUUGGUUUCCAAUAAAAAAUACAACGAAUUUCUUAUUUUUAUUUUAUACUUUUUUUUUUUUAAAUUAUUAGAGCCUUACUAGAUUUCCCACUACAAGGCAAAUAUUCUGAUUGGUACAGUUUACACGAGGAGUGAAGCAAAAGAUGACUCAGUCAUCAUAUGUUAAUGACUCCAUGGAGGACAAGUAAAUUACUUUAUUAGGUGGACACUUUCCCAUGCAACUUACUCUAGUGAACGUGCUUUAGCAGGAGGUUGGGCUAAGCGACCUCCAGAGGUCCCUUCCAAACCCUGUGAUUCUGUGAUCUCCCUAGGUUAGGUCAAAGUAGAAAACAUGAGGUUGUAGCCAAGCAAAUCUAGACUAACUGC
This 20462-nucleotide long non-coding RNA is filed under the name Gallus gallus (chicken). RNAcentral describes it as "lncRNA (ENSGALG00010004592.1)". Lineage: Eukaryota; Metazoa; Chordata; Aves; Galliformes; Phasianidae. The record is from RNAcentral.